UUAAUUGAAGCCAAAUUAGAGGUGUAUUACUGUUAAUAAUAUAACUGAACCAAAGUUCCAAUUAAG
This 66-nucleotide transfer RNA is filed under the name Bryodema luctuosum luctuosum. Its description in RNAcentral is "tRNA-Asn". The record is from RNAcentral. Lineage: Eukaryota; Metazoa; Arthropoda; Insecta; Orthoptera; Acrididae.